Molecule: long non-coding RNA, 2455 nt
Filed under: Homo sapiens (human)
Lineage: Eukaryota; Metazoa; Chordata; Mammalia; Primates; Hominidae
Description: non-protein coding lnc-EGFR-4:2
Source: RNAcentral
GCAUUGCGGAGCUCGCUAGUUGGGGCGUUGGCCUUCCUUAGGAGUGUGAGUCUAGCGUUAUCCCUUUUUUCCGGCUGGAUCCCGGGUUACCCCACCAGCCCGACCUCAACCCACUCACGUCCACAGCACGAGCCCCAGCGGCCUUGCGCGGUGCUUGCUCUCUAGUAGCGGCUGACUAGGUAAAUCCUAAGUUGUGGUUUUUUUUCCUGCGGUCCAGCUUGAUGUGUGUCCUUACGGUACAUACUUUUUGUAUGUAUAUAAUGUUGGUCGAAAUGAAGCUUAUGAGCAAUAUAAUGUUAUGGCCUAAUUCAAAAUAGUAUCCCCACCCCAAACUUUGACUUUGGCUGUCAUUCACGGUAAUGAAUGCCGCUGUAAUUGAGGCCUUUGUCAAACGCUAGGUUUGGUUACGGGAGUGGUCAUAAUGUACACACAGCUCCCCACUUACCCACAAGGAUGCAUUCCAGGAACCCCCCGCCGGAUGGCUGAAACCGUCAGUAGAGACGGGGUUUCACCAUAUUGGCCAGGCUGGUCUUGAACUCCUGACCUCGCGAUCCACCCGCCUCGGCCUCCCAAAGUGCUGGGAUUACAGACGUGAGCCACCGCGCCCGGCCAUGUUUCCUUUUAGCAAUGGAGCAUAACGGGAUCUGAGGAACAAUAUAACUCAGGAAGAGCUGAUGGAACAUUAAGACGUGUUACAACUCUCAGUGCUUCUUAAACUUCUUCAGUAACUGAAAUCUCCUGUUAAGUUUUUUAGUAAAUGAAAUUUGUAACCCCAGAACCUCCAGAUAUUGAUUCAGUGGGUCAGGGUUAGAGGUCACACACCUCCGUAUAUCUGACUGUAGGUGGUCCAUACACACUACACAUACCUUGCCUUAGCUUUAAGAGUCACUUUUAAAUUCUGAACAGACUGAGAUGCGUUUGACUAGUUCUUCAUCCCUGGGACUUCAGCCCAUGUGUCAUCUCCUUAGAGGCCUAUAGUGACCAUCUAAGGCAAUCCUGUCUAUCUCAUGCUCUUUUUUCCUUUUUCACAAUACCUUCUUCAUUUGCUGCAUAGCAUUUGUAUUAACAUUUAUUUAUUUAUUCCUCGGUCUGUCUCCCUACACUGUAAAUCCCCUUACUAGACCAUAAGCUCCAAGUGGGUAUAAUAUAGCAUCUAGUAAAGUGCUAAACACAGUAAAUGCUCAAUAAAUAAUUUUCAAAAAAAUAAUUCAUUCCAAAAAAACAUAAAAUCACAUGUUGGCAAGUUCACCCCAACCACCAAAUGUCUGAGUUGACAGUAUUUUCAGCAAAACACAGAAAAUCAAGUAACACAUACAGUGGUUCCCCUUAUCCAAGAAAAUCUGGUUCAAAAAGAGAUGUGUACCAGAAGGUAAUCUGGGAGAGGCCACAUUCAAAUAACUUUCAUUACAGUGUAUUGUUAUAAUUGUCUACUCACCUGAUUUCGGGAGUUUGAGACCAGCCAGACCAACGUGGAGAAACCCCGUCUCCACUAAAAAUACAAAAAUUAGUCUGGAAUGGUGUCGCAUGCCUGUAACCCUAGCUACUCAGGAGGCUGAGGCAAGAGAAUCCCUUGAACCCGGGAGGUGGAGGUUGCAGUGAGCUGAGGUCACACGACUGCACUCCAGCCUGGGCAACAGAGCAAGACUCCGUCUGUAAAAAAAAAAAAAAAAAAAAACAGGCUGAUAACAGCAAAUCUGUGCAAAAAUACGUAACAAUCAGAACUCUAGAACUCUAAUUCCUGGUUACUAGGAGUGUAAAAUGGCAUAACCCUUUUGGGAAAAGUUUAGUAGUUUAUCAUAAUAUGAAGCAUAUAUACACCACCUAUGGCUCCACAAUUCCAAUUCCAGGUACUUAUUGAAGAUAUAUGAAACUAAAUUCACAGAAAGACUUGUACAGGAAUGUUCGUAGUAACUUUAUUGAUAACAGAACUAAAAGCAACAGGGUACCAUCAAUAGAAUGAAUAAACAUACAGGUAUAGUCCCACAACAGAAUAGUACUCCAUAGCUAAGGAAAGAAAACUCUCUGCCACAACAUUGAUGAAUGACAAACAUGGUGAGUGAAACAAGCCUACGCUAAAGAAGGCACAGUGUGCAGUUCCAUUUGCAAGAAAUUUUAGACAAAGCAAAAAUAAUGAAUGGUGGAAAAAAUCAGAACAGUGUUUGCCCGGGGCUACAUAUUGAGAAGGCGGGUGAGGGAACUGGGGAGUGAAUGUAAUGCUCUGUAAUUUAACAGGUCUUAGGGUUUCACAGGGGUCUUAGUCAACGUGGGCAGCUAUAACAGAGUAUCAUAGAGUGGUGGCUUACACAACAAACAUUUAUUUCUCACAGUUCUGGAGACUGGAAGUCAGAGAUAAUGGUCAGGUUCUUGUGAAGGCUUUUACUGGUUUAUAGAUAGCUACUUUCUCAUUGCAUUCUCACAUUGCGGGAGAUGGAGGAAGAGAGAAAGAAAGGACCAG